AGAAUCAACGCUGGCGGCAUGCCUAACACAUGCAAGUCGAACGAGAAAGUGGAGCAAUCCAUGAGUAAAGUGGCGCACGGGUGAGUAACACGUGACUAACCUACCCUUGAGUGGGGGAUAACCUAGGGAAACCUGGGCUAAUACCGCAUAAUACCUUCGGGUCAAAGGAGCAAUUCGCUUAAGGAGGGGGUCGCGGCCGAUUAGUUAGUUGGCGGGGUAAUGGCCCACCAAGACUGUGAUCGGUAUCCGGCCUGAGAGGGCGCACGGACACACUGGAACUGAAACACGGUCCAGACUCCUACGGGAGGCAGCAGUGGGGAAUUUGCGCAAUGGGGGAAACCCUGACGCAGCAACGCCGCGUGGAGGAUGAAGUCCCUUGGGACGUAAACUCCUUUUCGAUCGGGACGAUUAUGACGGUACCGGAAGAAGAAGCCCCGGCUAACUUCGUGCCAGCAGCCGC
RNAcentral lists this ribosomal RNA (460 nucleotides) under uncultured bacterium. RNAcentral describes it as "SSU rRNA". It matches the Rfam family "Bacterial small subunit ribosomal RNA", at positions 26 to 518 of the family's 1533-position model. The record is from RNAcentral.